GAGUUUGAUCAUGGCUCAGAACGAACGCUGGCGGCAGGCCUAACACAUGCAAGUCGAACGGUGUAGCAAUACACAGUGGCGCACGGGUGAGUAACGCGUGGGAACGUGCCUUUUGGUACGGAAUAACGUCGGGAAACUGACGCUAAUACCGUAUACGCCCUCCGGGGGAAAGAUUUAUCGCCAAAAGAUCGGCCCGCGUCAGAUUAGCUAGUUGGUAGGGUAAUGGCCUACCAAGGCUCCGAUCUGUAGCUGUUCUGAGAGGAAGAUCAGCCACACUGGAACUGAGACACGGUCCAGACUCCUACGGGAGGCAGCAGUAAGGAAUAUUGGUCAAUGGACGAAAGUCUGAACCAGCCAUGCCGCGUGGAGGAUGAAGGUCCUCUGGAUUGUAAACUUCUUUUAUAUGGGACGAAAAAGGCUUUUCUAAGUCGUCUGACGGUACAUAUGAAUAAGCACCGGCUAACUCCGUGCCAGCAGCCGCUGUAAC
This 487-nucleotide ribosomal RNA is filed under the name uncultured Sphingobacterium sp. RNAcentral describes it as "bacterial SSU rRNA". It matches the Rfam family "Bacterial small subunit ribosomal RNA", at positions 9 to 524 of the family's 1533-position model. Lineage: Bacteria; Pseudomonadati; Bacteroidota; Sphingobacteriia; Sphingobacteriales; Sphingobacteriaceae. The record is from RNAcentral.